RNAcentral lists this ribosomal RNA (441 nucleotides) under Actinomadura sp. XM-24-10. RNAcentral's name for it is "bacterial SSU rRNA". It matches the Rfam family "Bacterial small subunit ribosomal RNA", at positions 62 to 518 of the family's 1533-position model. The record is from RNAcentral. Lineage: Bacteria; Bacillati; Actinomycetota; Actinomycetes; Streptosporangiales; Thermomonosporaceae.
UCGAGCGGAAAGGCCCCUUCGGGGGUACUCGAGCGGCGAACGGGUGAGUAACACGUGAGCAACCUGCCCCUGACUCUGGGAUAAGCCCGGGAAACUGGGUCUAAUACCGGAUACGACCACCCGCCGCAUGGUCUGUUGGUGGAAAGUUUUUCGGUUGGGGAUGGGCUCGCGGCCUAUCAGCUUGUUGGUGGGGUGAUGGCCUACCAAGGCGACGACGGGUAACCGGCCUGAGAGGGCGACCGGUCACACUGGGACUGAGACACGGCCCAGACUCCUACGGGAGGCAGCAGUGGGGAAUAUUGCGCAAUGGGCGGAAGCCUGACGCAGCGACGCCGCGUGGGGGAUGACGGCCUUCGGGUUGUAAACCUCUUUCAGCAGGGACGAAGCUAACGUGACGGUACCUGCAGAAGAAGCGCCGGCUAACUACGUGCCAGCACCGGG